GAUGAACGCUGGUGGCGUGCCUAAUACAUGCAAGUCGAGCGAACAGACGAGGAGCUUGCUCCUCUGACGUUAGCGGCGGACGGGUGAGUAACACGUGGAUAACCUACCUAUAAGACUGGGAUAACUUCGGGAAACCGGAGCUAAUACCGGAUAAUAUAUUGAACCGCAUGGUUCAAUAGUGAAAGACGGUUUUGCUGUCACUUAUAGAUGGAUCCGCGCCGCAUUAGCUAGUUGGUAAGGUAACGGCUUACCAAGGCAACGAUGCGUAGCCGACCUGAGAGGGUGAUCGGCCACACUGGAACUGAGACACGGUCCAGACUCCUACGGGAGGCAGCAGUAGGGAAUCUUCCGCAAUGGGCGAAAGCCUGACGGAGCAACGCCGCGUGAAUGAUGAAGGUCUUCGGAUCGUAAAACUCUGUUAUUAGGGAAGAACAAAUGUGUAAGUAACUAUGCACGUCUUGACGGUACCUAAUCAGAAAGCCACGGCUAGCUACGUG
This 497-nucleotide ribosomal RNA is filed under the name uncultured bacterium. RNAcentral describes it as "partial 16S ribosomal RNA". It matches the Rfam family "Bacterial small subunit ribosomal RNA", at positions 28 to 507 of the family's 1533-position model. The record is from RNAcentral.